GUGUCCCCCUCGCAUACUCAGGGGUGAUGUCAGGGAUGGGUGAAUCAGGAAGGGGCAGUUGUCCAUGGUCUUGCUGUCAGCUUGUCUGCAGUUUGUGUGGGGCCUGAGGGCUCCUGGUGCAUCAGUGUUGGAAGAGACAUCUGUGCACCUUGCAGCCUGGCCUGGGGUGGGCCUUGAUGGGAGGGGCUCGGGGCCCUGGGCUGGGAGAGGGAGAGGGAGAGGGAGGCAGAGGUCUGAGGGCAGAGCAGGCCAGGGGUUCCAGGCCAUGGAGACUCAAGUGGAACUCAGCUGGCAGAGGAUGCCUCUCCGGGGGAGGCUUGGGCAUGUGGGAGGAGCCCCGAGGGGCGGCGGCUCUGUAGCUGUAGCGAGGGGUGAGGAAGAGGGUGUUUGGGUGGCCAGAGGAGCGGGCUCCUGGCGCUGCAUUGGCUGGGCGUGCCGAAGGUGGCUGGGGGCCGUGGGGAGCACCAGCCGCCCUGUCUGCUCCCUGGGGAACGGCAGACCCGUCUUCCAUGCUGAUCUCCCAGGUGGGGUCAGCACCUGUGAGCAGGAGCCAGCGGGCCUGGGCAGGGAACCAGAGCCCCUCUGCUGCUGUCAGGACGUGCUCAGGGACCACCACGACCACCACAUGGCCCAGCGUGAGCUGCAGGGCUGUCUGUGGGGCCAGCACCAGGCCCUCAGCUCCCAGGCGAAGCUGCAGCUCUGUUCCCGCUUCCAAGACCACCACGAUCAUCUGGGCGCUGGCACUCUGCGGGCCCUGGGGAGGAAAAGCCAGCAGUUAGGGCUUGUCGUGCAGUGGCUGGCAGGGCACAGGCCAGGGCACAGCCCCAACUGCAAACCCAGCCCCCAAUCCAGCCCUGCAUGGCCACCCAGAAACCUCACCGUCCUGACACCCUCAGCGAGCUCAACCAAUGGACUUUCCCUACACCUUGGAUCCCAACAAGUCACGUGGACCCCAAAACUUACCCUCGAGCUUCCACGGGGCACCGCUACAGCAUGGCAUGGACACGGCCGCCAUUCCUGGGCAGCUUCUGCACCUAGGGGAACACGGAGUGUGUUGAGGGGAGGCGGCUGUCCCGCAGGAGUCCCAGUGGAGGGGCAUAGUUGCUCCCAGCGCAGAGGUGGCUGCAGGCCUGGGCAUCCUAGAGAAAGUCCCUCCCCCGUUCCAGUCAGCCUUGGAAGGGGGAGCCUUUCCUAGUGGGGGCAGUCAGGUGAGAGCAUAGAAAAUGCCUUACCUGGCCUGGGACCCUGCUGCAGUCUCUGCCGUUUGGGGAGGUUGCCUUGUGUCCCGUGUGGCCUGCAGGAGAAUGGGACUCGGUCAGCUGAGACCAGCGAGACCUGUUACACAAAGCCCCUAACUCAUUGCAGCCCUGCAGCCCUAGCACAUCCCAGUCCCCCAGAUUCAACGCCCAAAGCUGGGGCUGCCCGAAUCCCUCUGUUCCCCUCAGGGUGGGGACUUCUGAUCUG
Molecule: long non-coding RNA, 1464 nt
Filed under: Oryctolagus cuniculus (rabbit)
Lineage: Eukaryota; Metazoa; Chordata; Mammalia; Lagomorpha; Leporidae
Description: lncRNA (ENSOCUG00000039067.1)
Source: RNAcentral